RNAcentral lists this ribosomal RNA (501 nucleotides) under uncultured bacterium. RNAcentral's name for it is "partial 16S ribosomal RNA". It matches the Rfam family "Bacterial small subunit ribosomal RNA", at positions 30 to 523 of the family's 1533-position model. The record is from RNAcentral.
AUUGAACGCUGGCGGCAGGCCUAACACAUGCAAGUCGAGCGGAUGAGGGGUGCUUGCACUCCGAUUCAGCGGCGGACGGGUGAGUAAUGCCUAGGAAUCUGCCCGAUAGUGGGGGACAACGUUUCGAAAGGAACGCUAAUACCGCAUACGUCCUACGGGAGAAAGUGGGGGCUCUUCGGACCUCACGCUAUCGGAUGAGCCUAGGUCAGGAUUAGCUAGUUGGUGGGGUAAAGGCUCACCAAGGCGACGAUCCGUAACUGGUCUGAGAGGAUGAACAGUCAAACUGGAACUGAGACAGGGUCCAGACUCAUACGGGAGGCAGCAGUGGAGAAUACUGGACAAUGGGCGACACACUGAUCCAGCCAUGCCGCGUGUGUGAAGAAGGUCUUCGGAUUGUAAAGCACUUUAAGUUGGGAGGAAGGGCUGUAAGCGAAUACCUUGCAGUUUUGACGUUACCGACAGAAUAAGCACCGGCUAACUUCGUGCCAGCAGCCGCCGUAA